Molecule: ribosomal RNA, 468 nt
Filed under: uncultured bacterium
Lineage: Bacteria
Description: partial 16S ribosomal RNA
Rfam family: Bacterial small subunit ribosomal RNA
Source: RNAcentral
GACGAACGCUGGCGGCGUGCUUAACAUAUGCAAGUCGAACGGAAAGGCCCUGCUUUUGUGGGGGGCUCGAGUGGCGAACGGGUGAGUAACACGUGAGUAACCUGCCCUUGACUUUGGGAUAACUUCAGGAAACUGGGGCUAAUACCGGAUAGGAGCUCCGGCUGCAUGGUGGGGGUUGGAAAGUUUCGGCGGUGGGGGAUGGACUCGCGGCUUAUCAGCUUGUUGGUGGGGUAGUGGCUUACCAAGGCUUUGACGGGUAGCCGGCCUGAGAGGGUGACCGGCCACAUUGGGACUGAGAUACGGCCCAGACUCCUACGGGAGGCAGCAGUGGGGAAUAUUGCACAGUGGGCGGAAGCCUGAUGCAGCAACGCCGCGUGCGGGAUGACGGCCUUCGGGUUGUAAACCGCUUUCGCCUGUGACGAAGCGUGAGUGACGGUAAUGGGUAAAGAAGCACCGGCUAACUACGUG